CCCUUAGAUGUCCUGGGCCGCACGCGCGCUACAAUGACUCACUCAGAAAGUUUUUCCUGAUCCGGAAGGAUUCGGGUAAUCUUCAUAGCAUGAGUCGUGUUAGGGAUCGAUCUUUGCAAUUAUAGAUCUUGAACGAGGAAUGCCUAGUAAGUGCAGCUCAUCAGGCUGUACUGAUUACGUCCCUGCCCUUUGUACACACCGCCCGUCGCUCCUACCGAUUGAGUGGUCCGGUGAACCUUCUGGAUUAAGCAGCAAUGCUUGAGGAGUUAGGUAAACCUUAUCACUUAGAGGAAGGAGAAGUCGUAACA
RNAcentral lists this ribosomal RNA (308 nucleotides) under uncultured eukaryote. Its description in RNAcentral is "partial 18S ribosomal RNA". It matches the Rfam family "Eukaryotic small subunit ribosomal RNA", at positions 1470 to 1796 of the family's 1831-position model. The record is from RNAcentral.